Molecule: transfer RNA, 63 nt
Filed under: Tropiocolotes steudneri
Lineage: Eukaryota; Metazoa; Chordata; Lepidosauria; Squamata; Gekkonidae
Description: tRNA-Cys
Source: RNAcentral
AGCCCCGAGGUGAAUCACACCGGAAUGCAAGUCCGGAGAAGCACCCUAAAGGUGCCGGGGCUU